UUGAAAGGGAAACGAUUGAAGUCAGUCGUACCUGCGGAUAAUCAGCCUUUAGGAUGCGAUUUUGUGGAGCAUGAGGAGCUAAUCGCCUUCAUGCCUGUAUAUUCGUGUACUUGGGGUGUACUUAUUCGUGUGGUAAGUUAACAUCAAUUUUGGUCGUCAUAAAAUGACUGGAGGAAUGCAGCUUCGAUCUCGUAUUGAAGUGUUAUAGCCUUUGGUAGAUGUGAUUAUCGGGAUUGAGGAUUGCAACGAAUACCCUUUUGGGCUAUCCGCCUGAUCUCUG
RNAcentral lists this ribosomal RNA (280 nucleotides) under Rhizophagus sp. (in: glomeromycetes). RNAcentral describes it as "Rhizophagus sp. (in: Fungi) partial large subunit ribosomal RNA". Lineage: Eukaryota; Fungi; Glomeromycota; Glomeromycetes; Glomerales; Glomeraceae. The record is from RNAcentral.